RNAcentral lists this ribosomal RNA (301 nucleotides) under uncultured bacterium. Its description in RNAcentral is "partial 16S ribosomal RNA". It matches the Rfam family "Bacterial small subunit ribosomal RNA", at positions 509 to 808 of the family's 1533-position model. The record is from RNAcentral.
CAGCCGCCACGGUAAUACGUAGGUCCCGAGCGUUGUCCGGAUUUAUUGGGCGUAAAGCGAGCGCAGGCGGUUAGAUAAGUCUGAAGUUAAAGGCUGUGGCUUAACCAUAGUACGCUUUGGAAACUGUUUAACUUGAGUGCAGAAGGGGAGAGUGGAAUUCCAUGUGUAGCGGUGAAAUGCGUAGAUAUGUGGAGGAACACCGGUGGCGAAAGCGGCUCUCUGGUCUGUAACUGACGCUGAGGCUCGAAAGCGUGGGGAGCAUACAGGAUUAGAUACCCCUGUAGUCCCUGUCUCUUAUACA